UCGAAAAAUCACAAAAUUUAUUUUCUAGGUACCUCAAAUACUCUAGAUCAACUCUAACGGAGCCGAUCGUCGAUUCGAAAGUCCGAACAUCGAAAAUAACUUGGAAGUACGGAGGGCUCCGUGCUUCCAGAAGCAUACCAGCCCACUCUAUAUUUAUAUAUAUAUAGAAUUGAGCUCCUAUGCUUUUAAAAGUACCAAGUUAUUGGUGCUUGUAGAUAUUAAGAGAUGCGCGGUUAGGAUGAUGUGGGCCCCCUAGGGUUGAGUGGGUAGUUGGUUGAAUAGUAUAAUCUAACGGGUAAAAAUGAUCAGAGGCGUAGAUCUAACG
This 325-nucleotide long non-coding RNA is filed under the name Ananas comosus (pineapple). RNAcentral describes it as "long non-coding RNA (ACOM_LNC037947)". Lineage: Eukaryota; Viridiplantae; Streptophyta; Magnoliopsida; Poales; Bromeliaceae. The record is from RNAcentral.